GGACAGAGAGAGCACCAUGUAGCUAGGAUGCUCCGGCUGCCUGGCUUUAUCUGGCUAAUAAUGAAAGGCAGCAAGCGUGUCAGAGAGUGUGAGAGAAACAGAUCGAUAGAGAGAUAAAACUGAGAUGGAAGGAGCUGGCGAGGGGGUGGGGAAGAGAGUAAUAAAACACUACGAAUCAGCAGGGUUACGUCUGAACUUGAUUUGAAUGCGCUCUGCGCUGGUGUAAGUGAAUACAGCAGGUGUAAGGCUAUGGUGAAUCAGACCUAAAUACAGAAACAGAGAGGGAAAAGUAGGAAGGAGAUACUCCUCUUAUUAAUACUGCCCUGUAACCUGCCUUCACAGCUCUGACCCAACCUUACAAGCCCUGCUUCUCCUUUAAUCCUGAUAUAUGAAGAAGCCCAGGCUUUGCUAGCUCUGAGAAUACAGAUUCAUAGCCUUUCCCUGCUUCCCUGGGCCACCGUGAUCUUCAGCCUGUCCUGAAGACGUGUCUGUUGGGUAAAAUGUGUCUCGGUCACGUUUUACCUGACCGAGUGCAGGAGAUGCUCCUUACCACCUCCUUCACCGAGGACCCGGGGCAGGACAGCUUCUGACAAUGCCCUGAACCGGUGGCUCCGGGGCACUUUUCUAGGAGAGAUGAUUGACUGCGCCCACGCCAACGGAAGCUGACCAGAGAAACCUCUUUGUUCAGCUCCAGAUUUCUGAGCCAAAUGAGACUGAGACAUCCCAAAGCUAAGGGGACAUCAGAGCACGUGAAUGAAAACGUGCUCUACCGGCACAGGACUGAGGGUCUGGGUGCCUUCCCCUGUCAGGGCACCUCUUUGCCUCCCUGGCCCAGGCACUCAGAGGUGUUUGGCUCCUUCUGCCUGGAAUUAGUUUUGAGUGACGUCCACUUAAUUCUAGUGGCAUGGCCACUAGCGUUAGAAGUUCAGUUUUCCACACCGACCACCGCUGUCUGCACUGCUCCCUCCUUCUGUCAGUAGCCUCAGCGUGGAGACCAAGCACUGAAGGGUCUCAGGGACUGAAGGGACCCUGAGAAGGGGUAGGGACAAUACAUGUGGCUGUUCAAAUGAGCUCGGAGCAGCCUCUCACUGGGAGACGCCAUGACCUAACUCCCCAGGGCAGCCACGGGUUGUAUCUUCCAGCUCUACAAUUGCGUUUGGAGCAGUACAGUACCCCAAAGGAGCCUUCUCCACGACUCAGCCACAGCAGCUGCGUGAGAAGAACUGGAGUCAAAGCAAGUGAUGAGAAGAGAGCUGCUGAUACUGAAGCCUGGCAAGGUGCAAGUCAACUGCCUUUAAUACCUGCGAAACUGACCGAGCUGAAGACCGAUUCCCUUGCGGGCAACCACGUGCUGGAGUGCAAACUUACCUUGACAGCGCUAAGAUUUUAACACGCUAAAACUGUGUUGCCUGCACAGACUAUAUUGGGCUCCCAUCAAUUUGUUGCCUCCUUUGCUUUCAGGGAAAAACCUCCCUGACUUCGAAAGAAGCCAGCCAUGAGGAAGUUGGUGCCGGAUUGGAAACUCUUGGCCAAAGAGCUUAAUGCUGCUUAUUGAAAGGAGUGUUUGCGGACUGCGCUCCUCCCAGUCCCCCUCGCAACUCACCUCCACCCUCCACAUGAUUUAUACAAGACAAGAAGAGCGAUGAAGGUUUUUUCCAAAAUGACCCUCACUUUUUAGUCCCAUCGUCAUAAAAACAGCUCUUUCACCUAAAACGGGGAAGCGUGCCCUCGGUGAUGCCUCCUGAUCGCAUUACACUGACUCAUUUGCCCACGAAUUGAUACUUAAAGCAUACCAUAAACAUUUCUAUCCUUG
Long non-coding RNA from Aquila chrysaetos chrysaetos, 1813 nucleotides. RefSeq lists it as uncharacterized. The transcript has 2 exons. The record is from RefSeq and is a predicted model, not a curated record. Lineage: Eukaryota; Metazoa; Chordata; Aves; Accipitriformes; Accipitridae.